ACAAGGACUUAUGGACGUUUUAGUAAAUGGUGUCCAGCAGGGCAAAACUUGUAAUACGAGGUACCACCUGCACAACGCAAGGUACAACUCGCUGAAGCACCUGUGCCUUUAUAAGGCAGUCAUGGGCAGCAGCCAUUUUUGGGGAUUUUCUUGAGCUAGGGAUUGGUUCUUUCAUGGUGGAUUCGACCUUGGGGACUACUUAAGAAUACAAGAAAUCUUUCAAGUUGUUCAAGAACACCAAAUUUUCCAAACAUUGGAAUUUCAAGAAAAAGCUUCAAGAAGAUAUCAAUUUGUUGGUGGCGUAUGAGUAUUUUACUCAAUGUUACGAUAUCAGAGGAGGAUUAAAAGCUUGUGAAUGUUAAUAAAGCGAAAGCGAGUUUUGGAGCGUUGGGCAUCAGUCGAGUUAUUUGAAAGGCUUGGGAGC
Molecule: non-coding RNA, 424 nt
Organism: Nicotiana tabacum (common tobacco)
Lineage: Eukaryota; Viridiplantae; Streptophyta; Magnoliopsida; Solanales; Solanaceae
Source: RefSeq, a predicted model, not a curated record